GGUUUCCGUAGGUGAACCUGCGGAAGGAUCAUUACCGAGUGCGGGAACCCAGUCGGGUCCCAAUCUCCCACCCGUGUCUACCACACCUAGUGUUGCUUUGGCGGGCCCACUCCUCCGGUGUUCCGCCGGGGGGGUCGUCCCGGGGCGCGGUGUGCCCCCGGGGCCCGUGCCCGCCAGAGGCACUCACUGUGAACGCUUUUGUGAAUGCGAGGAUUGUCUGAGUGACGAAAUGCAAUCGUUCAAAACUUUCAACAAUGGAUCUCUUGGUUCCGGCAUCGAUGAAGAACGCAGCGAAAUGCGAUAAGUAAUGUGAAUUGCAGAAUUCCGUGAAUCAUCGAAUCUUUGAACGCACAUUGCGCCCUCUGGUAUUCCGGGGGGCAUGCCUGUCCGAGCGUCAUUGCGAACCCUCAAGCACGGCUUGUGUGUUGGGCCGCCGUCCCCUCGUUUGGAGGGGACGGGCCUGAAAGGCAGCGGCGGCGUCGCGUCCGGUCCUCGAGCGUAUGGGGCUCUGUCACGCGCUCAAGGAGGGGUCCGGCCGGGGCCAUAGCCUCUGAAGGUCAAUUCUUCCAAGGUUGACCUCGGAUCAGGUAGGAGUACCCGCUGAACUUAAGCAUAUCAAUAAGCGGGAGGA
This 631-nucleotide ribosomal RNA is filed under the name Thermomyces lanuginosus. RNAcentral's name for it is "eukaryotic LSU rRNA". The stretch from base 244 to 397 matches the Rfam family "5.8S ribosomal RNA". Lineage: Eukaryota; Fungi; Ascomycota; Eurotiomycetes; Eurotiales; Trichocomaceae. The record is from RNAcentral.